Molecule: ribosomal RNA, 301 nt
Filed under: uncultured bacterium
Lineage: Bacteria
Description: partial 16S ribosomal RNA
Rfam family: Bacterial small subunit ribosomal RNA
Source: RNAcentral
CAGUCGCCGCGGGAAUACGUAGGUCCCGAGCGUUGUCCGGAUUUAUUGGGCGUAAAGCGAGCGCAGGCGGUUUGAUAAGUCUGAAGUUAAAGGCUGUGGCUCAACCAUAGUUCGCUUUGGAAACUGUCAAACUUGAGUGCAGAAGGGGAGAGUGGAAUUCCAUGUGUAGCGGUGAAAUGCGUAGAUAUAUGGAGGAACACCGGUGGCGAAAGCGGCUCUCUGGUCUGUAACUGACGCUGAGGCUCGAAAGCGUGGGGAGCGAACAGGAUUAGAUACCCCCGUAGUCCCUGUCUCUUAUACA